RNAcentral lists this ribosomal RNA (468 nucleotides) under uncultured bacterium. RNAcentral's name for it is "partial 16S ribosomal RNA". It matches the Rfam family "Bacterial small subunit ribosomal RNA", at positions 28 to 507 of the family's 1533-position model. The record is from RNAcentral.
GACGAACGCUGGCGGCGUGCUUAACACAUGCAAGUCGAACGGAAAGGCCCUGCUUUUGUGGGGUGCUCGAGUGGCGAACGGGUGAAUAACACGUGAGUAACCUGCCCUUGACUUUGGGAUAACUUCAGGAAACUGGGGCUAAUACCGGAUAGGAGCUCCUGCUGCAUGGUGGGGGUUGGAAAGUUUCGGCGGUUGGGGAUGGACUCGCGGCUUAUCAGCUUGUUGGUGGGGUAGUGGCUUACCAAGGCUUUGACGGGUAGCCGGCCUGAGAGGGUGACCGGCCACAUUGGGACUGAGAUACGGCCCAGACUCCUACGGGAGGCAGCAGUGGGGAAUAUUGCACAAUGGGCGGAAGCCUGAUGCAGCAACGCCGCGUGCGGGAUGGCGGCCUUCGGGUUGUAAACCGCUUUCGCCUGUGACGAAGCGUGAGUGACGGUAAUGGGUAAAGAAGCACCGGCUAACUACGUG